RNAcentral lists this ribosomal RNA (513 nucleotides) under uncultured bacterium. RNAcentral's name for it is "bacterial SSU rRNA". It matches the Rfam family "Bacterial small subunit ribosomal RNA", at positions 975 to 1482 of the family's 1533-position model. The record is from RNAcentral.
CUGGGCUCGAACGGCCGGUCAACGGAGGGGGAAACAUGCUCUACCCUCGCAAGGGGGUCCGGUCGAGGUGCUGCAUGGCUGUCGUCAGCAUCGUGUCGUGAGAUGUUGGGUUAAGUCCCGAAACGAGCGCAACCCUCGUCCUGUGUUGCCACCCCUCAAGGGAGCACUCUCAGGAGACCGACAGCGAUAAUUUGGAGGAAGGUGGGGAUGACUUCUAGUCCUCGUGGCCUUUAUGUCCAGGGCUACACAUGUGCUACAAUGGUCGGAACAAAGGGGAGCGAACCCACGAGGGGGAGCCAAUCCCAAAAAACCGGUCUCACUUCUGAUUGCAUGCUGCAACUCGCCUGCAUGAAGCUGGAAUCGCUAGUAAUGGCAAAUCAACACGCUGCCGUGAAUACGUUCCCGGACCUUGUACACACCGCCCGUCACAUCACUAAAGUGGGUUGUACUAGAACCCUGCAGGCCCACCCUCAAGGGGGGCAACGGUCCAAGGUAUGACUCAUGAUUGGGGUG